AUGGGGUUCACCACAAUCAUCCAGGGGAACCUCCCCAUCUCACGGUCCGUGGCUUAAUCACAUCUGCACAGCUCCUUUUACCACAUAAGGUUGUGAAGAUAAAAACUCAGAUAUUUGAAGUGAAAUUUUUAGGGCAAACCAGAGAUCUCUGGCAAUGCUAUCCACGAUCAAACACUGAGAUAAUGAAUGUGAAUGUGCUCUCUAAAAGUUAAAAGGAGUUAAUAGCUGCCAGGAGUCAUUACUGAGACAAGAUGCCAAGCUACAAACAGCCACCCCAGAUCACAAGAAGUACCUUGCUUGCCGCCCCAUCUCCUGACAGCAACCUAACAGGUGGGAGGCUCGAAUUUCUGCGUCAUCUCAGAUGUCUUUGGAUCUCUGGUCAUACCUCUGCUACCUACAGUUCCAGGGGAGCCCACUAGAGUCCAGCAAGGAAGAAGCAAAACACAGGAAGCCAGGAGAGCAGUUUUAUUUCUAUAGAGGAGCAAGUGGGAGAGGUAACAACCCAUACUGAGCAAACCCACUUUUUGGACAUGACCCUACUACCUUUCCCGUUAUGUGGCUGGGAGGGCAAUGGUUUCUCCCCUUUCAGCUGAUAACUGGGUCUGACCUCUAGGGGGUCACUUAUUAUAGAACCAGAAUAAAUUGAUUACAGGG
Non-coding RNA from Ictidomys tridecemlineatus (thirteen-lined ground squirrel), 654 nucleotides. Lineage: Eukaryota; Metazoa; Chordata; Mammalia; Rodentia; Sciuridae. The record is from RefSeq and is a predicted model, not a curated record.